AUCACGACAUCACCUGCUCGCCGCUCCUAGCCUCUCCCGAUCGCGGCUAUGGUCUAGCCAUCGCUCGGACCCCUGCCCACUGCGACACCUCGAUGACUAGCGCCGUCCAUCGUCGGCAAUGGCACCCGGCGGCUGGCGCGGCGGCGCUCUAUCACGAACACGCUAUCGCGGCCUCGCUGGCGCGACACGUCUCUCCGCCUCUUCGUCGCGUGGUCGCGAGGCGCGACACGAGCCCACGGCAGCACGUCGGCACCGUCGCACCGGCCCGUAUUUGCUGGACGGCUGAGCGCUGAAUACACGAUGCAGUUGGGCGGCUGGACGCUGCUGCCUGUUGCUGAACCUAACGCCAGCCAGACUCUCUGAACCAGUGAAGGUGAUUUGGUGAAAACAACCGUGUGCUACUGCCUGCUCCUGUUUGUUUUGCUUUGAAUCGUCAACCUUGUGCUAGCCUGCUAGGUAUUUAUAGUUUGAUUUGAUAAAAUUAUUUUGCUUCUUGUGUCAUAUUAAAAAUCAAUUAGAUCUUUUUAUUUGGUUUAAAUUUUUUUAUAACAUUAGCUUAGUAGCCCCUGUCUUAUAUCAAUCCUGGAUCCGCCACUGACUAAGUAUAAUACUAGGGAUGGAAGUGGAUUGGAAUGGAAUGAAUAAUGGUUUCUUCA
This is a long non-coding RNA of Zea mays, 656 nucleotides long. RefSeq lists it as uncharacterized. NCBI's taxonomy places the organism in Eukaryota, Viridiplantae, Streptophyta, Magnoliopsida, Poales, Poaceae. The record is from RefSeq and is a predicted model, not a curated record. The transcript has 2 exons.